Molecule: long non-coding RNA, 1100 nt
Filed under: Felis catus (domestic cat)
Lineage: Eukaryota; Metazoa; Chordata; Mammalia; Carnivora; Felidae
Description: lncRNA (ENSFCAG00000050211.1)
Source: RNAcentral
CCCAGGGCUCCCCAUCGGCCGGGCUUGUCCUGACGGUUAUGAAGCCUGCUGCAGUCGGCAAGCAGUGAUCCUGCACCUUUGCUGUGGUCGGGAGGGCUAUUUUUCCUGGUAUUGAGAGAGUGAAAGAGCAGGAGAGAGAGAGGGAGGGAAGGCGGGGGAAAGAGGGAGAGGGAGAGAGAAGGAGGGGGAAAGGAAGGAGAGACAGACCAAGGAGGAGGGAGAGAGACAAGAGGGAGGCUGUGCAGGGGGCUGGGGCUCGGGCCGGAGGCUCUGGCCCCUGGGACUCGGGGCGGCAUCCCGCCCACGGCACAGGCUGCCGUGUGCCUCACGGACUGCCCGCAAUUCCACGUGCAGUGCGUCAUGGCGUUUCCACCCUGAACUAACGCCCUAAUGGCACAAGUACAGGAAAAGCGAAGCAUGGCGCUCGGGUGCAGGUAGAGACCACAAAGGGGCCGUGUCUGUUCUCUGCGCUGUUGAGGACUCACAAAGCCCGUCUCUGGUGCAGGAAGACGAACUGCAAGCCAGGCACGUGCCCUUCCCACCGGCUGUGUCGUCUUGGAAGGUCCCUCGAUCCCUCCCAGACUCUGCUCUGUCAUCUAUAAAACAUAACAACCCGCGCCUGCCACACUAGACAUUGUCAGCAGCCACUGAGCUCAUGUGGGUGAACACGGCCUCAGAACAGUCACCUCCAGUCCACGCCGCUCCCAUCUCCCCCUCUAAGGAGCACUUUGGACCUACUGCCUCUUGGCCCAGUUCACACCGUCUCCAUGCCCCCGAGGCCCCGGCCCCACGCCCCGACCAGGCUGUGCCUCGCUCCCCGGCUGCCAGCAGGCCCUGGGCCUGGCUGGGGGCAGACCCCCGAGCCGCACCUGCAGACCUCAGGGGUAAGAGGCGGGGGGGGGGAAUGUGAACGAUCUCCUCGAGAGUCUGCCUCCCGGGCAGCUGUGCACUGAGAUAAACCCACCACUUUGGGGCCGGCCGCCCCCACGGCCUGUGCUCCCAGCCACGGCCCCUGUCGGGGGAGAGAGAGACCCCCAGGGCGCUCACCACGGCCAACACGCAAACACACGCACGCACAGCACCUUCACGCUCAUGGCCAC